UACGUAGGGGGCAAGCGUUGUUCGGAAUCACUGGGCGUAAAGGGAGCGUAGGUGGGAUCAUAAGUUAGAAGUUUAAAUCGCAGGCUUAACCUGCGUGUGGCUUCUAAUACUGUGAUUCUUGAGUAUGAAAGAGGGAGAUGGAAUUCCAGGUGUAGCGGUGGAAUGCGUAGAUAUCUGGAAGAACACCAGCAGCGAAGGCGGUCUCCUGGUUCAAUACUGACACUGAGGCUCGAAAGUUAGGGGAGCAAACAGG
Molecule: ribosomal RNA, 253 nt
Filed under: uncultured bacterium
Lineage: Bacteria
Description: partial 16S ribosomal RNA
Rfam family: Bacterial small subunit ribosomal RNA
Source: RNAcentral